This 216-nucleotide ribosomal RNA is filed under the name Glomeromycotina sp. Its description in RNAcentral is "partial small subunit ribosomal RNA". The stretch from base 44 to 216 matches the Rfam family "Eukaryotic small subunit ribosomal RNA", at positions 690 to 864 of the family's 1831-position model. Lineage: Eukaryota; Fungi; Glomeromycota. The record is from RNAcentral.
GGGUCAGUAGGUUGGUCGUGCCACCGGUACGUACUGGUCUCACUGAUUCCUCCUUCCUGAAGAACCGUAAUGCCAUUAAUUUGGUGUUGCGGGGAAACAGGACUGUUACCUUGAAAAAAUUAGAGUGUUUAGAGCAAGCUAACGCUUGAAUACAUUAGCAUGGAAUAAUGAAAUAGGACGAUCGAUCCUAUUUUGUUGGUCUCUAGGAUUGACGUA